Molecule: ribosomal RNA, 248 nt
Filed under: uncultured bacterium
Lineage: Bacteria
Description: partial 16S ribosomal RNA
Rfam family: Bacterial small subunit ribosomal RNA
Source: RNAcentral
AUACGUAGGGGGCAAGCGUUGUCCGGAAUGACUGGGCGUAAAGGGCGUGUAGGCGGCUGCUUAAGUCUGAUGUGAAAUACCCAUUUUUAAGGUGGGUCGUGCAUUGGAAACUGAGUAGCUUGAGUGCGGAAGAGGUAAGUGGAAUUCCCGGUGUAGCGGUGAAAUGCGUAGAGAUCGGGAGGAACACCAGUGGCGAAGGCGACUUACUGGGCCGCAACUGACGCUGAGGCGCGAAAGCGGUGGGGAGC